UUUAUGGAGAGUUUGAUCCUGGCUCAGGAUGAACGCUGGCGGCGUGCCUAAUACAUGCAAGUCGAGCGAACAGACGAGGAGCUUGCUCCUCUGACGUUAGCGGCGGACGGGUGAGUAACACGUGGAUAACCUACCUAUAAGACUGGGAUAACUUCGGGAAACCGGAGCUAAUACCGGAUAAUAUAUUGAACCGCAUGGUUCAAUAGUGAAAGACGGUUUUGCUGUCACUUAUAGAUGGAUCCGCGCCGCAUUAGCUAGUUGGUAAGGUAACGGCUUACCAAGGCAACGAUGCGUAGCCGACCUGAGAGGGUGAUCGGCCACACUGGAACUGAGACACGGUCCAGACUCC
RNAcentral lists this ribosomal RNA (349 nucleotides) under Staphylococcus epidermidis. Its description in RNAcentral is "partial 16S ribosomal RNA". It matches the Rfam family "Bacterial small subunit ribosomal RNA", at positions 1 to 339 of the family's 1533-position model. Lineage: Bacteria; Bacillati; Bacillota; Bacilli; Caryophanales; Staphylococcaceae. The record is from RNAcentral. RNAcentral also lists the same sequence under 1 other name.